RNAcentral lists this ribosomal RNA (497 nucleotides) under uncultured bacterium. Its description in RNAcentral is "partial 16S ribosomal RNA". It matches the Rfam family "Bacterial small subunit ribosomal RNA", at positions 28 to 507 of the family's 1533-position model. The record is from RNAcentral.
GAUGAACGCUGGCGGCGUGCCUAACACAUGCAAGUCGAGCGAACAGACGAGGAGCUUUCUCCCCUGACGUUAGCGGCGGACGGGUGAGUAACACGUGGAUAACCUACCUCUAAGACUGGGGUAAUUUCGGGAAACCGGAGCUAAUACCGGAUAAUAUAUUGAACUGCAUGGUUCAAUAGUUAAAGUCGGUUUUGCUGUCACUUAUAGCUGAAUCCGCGCCGCAUUAGCUAGUUGGUAAGGUAACGGCUUACCAAGGCUACGAUGCGUAGCCGACCUGAGAGGGUGAUCGGCCACACUGGAACUGAGACACGGUCCAGACGCCUACGGGAGGCAGCAGUAGGGAAUCUUCCGCAAUGGGCGAAAGCCUGACGGAGCAACGCCGCGUGAGUGAUGAAGGUCUUCGGAUCGUAAAGCUCUGUUGUUAGGAAAGAACAAAUGUGUAAGUAACUAUGCAGGUCUUGACGGUACCGAAAGAAUAAGCCCCGGCUAACUACGUG